Molecule: ribosomal RNA, 82 nt
Filed under: Ostreococcus mediterraneus
Lineage: Eukaryota; Viridiplantae; Chlorophyta; Mamiellophyceae; Mamiellales; Bathycoccaceae
Description: partial Bacterial small subunit ribosomal RNA
Rfam family: Bacterial small subunit ribosomal RNA
Source: RNAcentral
GGAUGCCGAAGGCAGGUUUGGUGACUAGGGUGAAGUCGGAACAAGGUAGCCGUACUGGAAGGUGUGGCUGGAAUACCUCCUU